UGGACCGAGCUCUUCACAUGGGUCACUGCCACUUCGCAAUUCCCUCCAGUGGCCCAAAGCCACGCACAAUGGACUCUAGCCUCACAUGGACCGCUCGCGCACUCAAUCCACUCAACCGCGUGGACAGCGUCGGUACUUCCUAAUUAGGGCGCUCUCUGCACCUAUUUAAAGAGCUCUUCAGUGAACAAUUGAGGGGAGAGACAAUCUCUUACAUUUGGCAAUUCUGCCAGCCUCUGCGCUCCAUCGGUUCUCUCUUUUCCUUUUAUUUUUAUUUUUCUGUUUUUAAAUCGGCCAUGAAUAGUUGAUUUCUUUAAUCUAGUUGGAUAUUGGUUGAAGUUUUAGUUGUUUAAUGGGUUGUGAGACUUGAUCAAAUAUUGUUUAAUUUUUGGGAAUUCAAUAUUCAUGCAAUUUCAUAUUUAAUUCUCAUAUUAAUUUGUUAUUGAGAUCUACGUUGAUUUUUUAUUGCAAAAUAAUUAUUUGUUAGUUUGAAUAAUUUAAGUCCGUAAUUGCUUGGGUUAUUCUUACAUGAGAACAC
This 535-nucleotide long non-coding RNA is filed under the name Manihot esculenta (cassava). RNAcentral's name for it is "long non-coding RNA (MESC_LNC001623)". Lineage: Eukaryota; Viridiplantae; Streptophyta; Magnoliopsida; Malpighiales; Euphorbiaceae. The record is from RNAcentral.